AACGCGAAGAACCUUACCAGCCUUUGACAUGUCCACUAUGGGUCUAGGAGACUAGACCCUUCGGUUCGGCCGGGUGGAACACAGGUGCUGCAUGGCUGUCGUCAGCUCGUGUCGUGAGAUGUUGGGUUAAGUCCCGCAACGAGCGCAACCCUCAUCUUCAGUUGCCACCAGGUAAGGCUGGGCACUCUGAAGAAACCGCCGGUGACAAGCCGGAGGAAGGCGGGGAUGACGUCAAGUCCUCAUGGCCCUUACAGGCUGGGCUACACACGUACUACAAUGGUGGUGACAGUGGGCAGCGAAGUCGCGAGACGGAGCCAAUCCCCAAAAGCCAUCUCAGUUCAGAUUGCACUCUGCAACUCGAGUGCAUGAAGUUGGAAUCGCUAGUAAUCGCAGAUCAGCACGCUGCGGUGAAUACGUUCCCGGGCCUUGUACACACCGCUCGCGA
Molecule: ribosomal RNA, 445 nt
Filed under: uncultured bacterium
Lineage: Bacteria
Description: bacterial SSU rRNA
Rfam family: Bacterial small subunit ribosomal RNA
Source: RNAcentral